This is a long non-coding RNA of Choloepus didactylus (southern two-toed sloth), 368 nucleotides long. RefSeq lists it as uncharacterized. Lineage: Eukaryota; Metazoa; Chordata; Mammalia; Pilosa; Megalonychidae. The transcript is spliced from 3 exons. The record is from RefSeq and is a predicted model, not a curated record.
CAGUUUUUUUCCAGAAUUUGCCAUUCAUCUCACCAUUCUUCUAUUGAUAUAAAUUUGUGCUGUUAUGAAUUUCCCUGUGAACCAGUUAUAACAUCUGCCUGUUAUAAGACCAUGUACAAUCCCAGUUCAUCGCCAGUGACAGUUUUGACACUUGCAUUGCUAUGACUUGCUGGGGCCUACCUGUGCUUCACUUGUGGUCAGCAAUGGGGUUCUCUCUGCCAGCCAGCUGCCAGGUAAUGAGCUCUACAUUUUACUGAGAUGGUUAUAGCCAAGUGUAUAUAAAAUGAUGGCAGAUACACUGAAAAUUGGCAUUCCUGCAAUCAGCUGUGCUAAAUCCUGAAUAAUUUUUCUCUUUGUUGCAUUUUGUU